RNAcentral lists this ribosomal RNA (2565 nucleotides) under Solanum arcanum. RNAcentral describes it as "eukaryotic LSU rRNA". The record is from RNAcentral. Lineage: Eukaryota; Viridiplantae; Streptophyta; Magnoliopsida; Solanales; Solanaceae.
GUGACCCCAGGUCAGGCGGGGUUACCCAUUGAGUUUAAGCAUAUAAAUCAGCGGAGGAAAAGAAUCUUAAAAGGAUUCCCCUAGUAAUGGCGAGCGAAUCAGGAAAAGCCCAACCUUAGAAUCGGGCGGAUCCAUUGUCCGAAUUGUAGUCUUGAAGGGGGCACCGGAGAGGGUGAGAGUCCCGUCGUGCCCACACCCUGUCGCACCACGAGGCGCUGUCUACUAGUCGGGUUGUUUGGGAAUGCAACCCGAAGCGGGCGGUGAAUUCCGUCUAAAGGCUAAAUACUGGCGAGAGACCGAUAGCGAACCAGUACCGCGAGGGAAAUAUGAAAAAGACAUUGAAAAUAGAGUCAAAGGGUGCUUGAAAUUGUCAGGAGGGAAGCGUAUGGGGGCCGGCGAUGCACCCCGAUCGGAAGUCGAACGGUGAUGAGCCGGUCUACCAAUCGACUCGGGGCGUGGACCAGCGUGGAUUGGGGGCGGCCAAAGCCCAAGUUAUCGAUACGCCUGUGUAACGUUGUCUCAACGAUUAUGGAAGGCAACACGCGCCUCUGGUGUGCUUCGGCAUCUGCGCGCUCCGGACGCUUGCAUGUGGACUCCUGAUUUGACCCGUCUUGAAACACAGACCAAGGAGUCUGACAUGUGUGCGAGUCAACGCGCGAGUAAACUCGUAAGGCGCAAGGAAGCUGAUUGGUGGGAUCCCUCUGAGGGGUGCACCGUCGACUGACCUUGAUCUUCUUAGAAGGGUUCGAGUGUGAGAAUACCUGUCGGGACCCAAAAGAUGGUGAACUAUGCCUGAGUGGGGCGAAGCCAGAGGAAACUUUGGUGGAGGCCCGCAGAAAUACUAACGUGCAAAUCAUUCAUCUGACUUGGGUAUAGGGGCGAAAGACUAAUCGAACCGUCUAGUAGCUGGUUCCCUCCGAAGUUCUCCUCAGAAUAGCUGGAGCUCGCGUGCGAGUUCUAUCGGGUAAAGCCAAUGAUUAGAGUCCUCGGGGGCGCAACGCCCUCGACCUAUUCCCAAACUUUAAAUAGGUAGGACGGCGCUACUUCUUUGUUGAGCCGCGCCAUGGAAUCAAGAGCUCGAAGUGGGCCAUUUUUGGAAAGCAGAACUAGCGAUGCGGGAUGAACCGGAAGCCGGGUUACGGUGCCAAAUUGCGCGUUAGCCUAGAUCCCACAAAGGGUGUUGGUCGAUYAAGACAGCAGGACGGUGGUCAUGGAAGUCAAAAUCUGCUAAGGAGUGUGUAACAACUCACCUGCCGAAUCAACUAGCCCCGAAAAUGGAUAGAGCUUAAGCGCGCGACCUACACCCGGCCGUCGGUGCAAGUGCUACGCCCCGAUGAGUACGAGGGCGCAGCGGGCGCGAGCUUGGGCGGAGUGGCUGUCAGUGUAGAUCAUGGUUGUAGUAGCAAAUAUUCAAAUGAGAACAUUAAAGGCUGAAGAUGGUAAAAGAUCCAUGUGAACGACAUUUGCACAUGGGUUAGUCAAUCCUAAGGGUCGGGGGAACCCCGACAGAUAGCGCGUUUCGCGCGUACUCCGAAAGGGAAUCGGGUUAAAAUUCCUGAACCGGGACGUGGCGGUUGACGGCAACGUUAGGAAGUCCGUUGCACACACCAAGGACAUGCAUGAGAAAUAAUAGGUCUUUCCUAACAACAUGAUUUAUGUAAAGUCAAGUGAGUGGACUUGCAAAAUUUUGAUUAGGAAAGUCAAUGGACAUGCAAAAUUUGUAUUUGGAAAGUCAUGCAAUGAGUGUAACAUGCAUCAUCAAACUCAUCAUUUUGUAAAAAGUACAUAACAUAUUUCACAUAUCAUAUCACAUAGUUCAUAUCAUUCUUUCAUAUCCCAUGAGACCUUGAGAUCAUGGACUUGACGUUAAGACUUCUCAAAAUGAGGGCUCAACAUAUAGGACGUAAUCUAGGAAGCCUUCUUCAGUAAAAAUAGAAUCUGCUUCGUUCAUUCAUAUGUACUUCAUUUUUCAUUCUUUCAUAUACUAGUGCAGUCACUAGUCAUACCUAGGAUGUACUUCAAAACUCUCAUCGGGUUUGAUGUGCAUUGACCAAGAAUAACCUAGCGUCAUUAUUUAUGUCUAGCUCACCUCUUGAUAAUCCUAUCCUCACAACUUAAGUACCGUUCAUUUCAUUAUGUGCAUCAUUUGAGGCUGGACUCAUUCAUUUUUUCGGAACUUUAACUUUAACUGACAUAGAUCAUGUGAGCAUCAUGAAAUGUAGUGUCUCCCCGAUACCGAAAAAGGUGGAAUCACCGGCCAAAGUGACCCAAAACAUGCUAUCAUACAUGGGUAUUGAAACCCGCUAGAUCCCUAAUUGGAAGUAUAGGUUUGAAGACUAGGAGAUAUAAGGAGACUCAUACUCGGUAUGCCGGACAGUCUCAUCUCAUAGGRAUUUCGUGAACCUGCGCCCUUCCCUAAAGAAGGCAUCACCACUCAUAGCUAGCCAAUCGGUGCUAAAUAUAAACUUCCAUUACAUUCAACUCAUGCAUCAUGUUAGCUGGCUUCUAGCAUGAGGACAUCAUAGCUCAUUAGAUGAUUUCUCAUCUCAUCAUUAGUAUUGAGUA